GUUCCUACGGGGCGCAGCAGUGGGGAAUAUUGCACAAUGGGGGGAACCCUGAUGCAGCGACGCCGCGUGGGUGAAGGAGUACUUCGGUACGUAAAGCCCUAUCAGCAGGAAAGAAAAUGACGGUACCUGACUAAGAAGCCCCGGCUAACUACGUGCCAGCAGCCGCGGUAAUACGUAGGGGGCAAGCGUUAUCCGGAUUUACUGGGUGUAAAGGGAGCGCAGGCGGCACGGCAAGCCUGAUGUGAAAGCCCGCGGCCCAACCGCGGGACUGCAUUGGGAACUACCGGGCUGGAGUGCCGGAGAGG
Molecule: ribosomal RNA, 305 nt
Filed under: uncultured bacterium
Lineage: Bacteria
Description: bacterial SSU rRNA
Rfam family: Bacterial small subunit ribosomal RNA
Source: RNAcentral